Long non-coding RNA from Crotalus tigris (Tiger rattlesnake), 367 nucleotides. RefSeq lists it as uncharacterized. The record is from RefSeq and is a predicted model, not a curated record. The transcript has 2 exons. NCBI's taxonomy places the organism in Eukaryota, Metazoa, Chordata, Lepidosauria, Squamata, Viperidae.
UAUACAUGCACUUCAACUGCCACCAUCUGCCUAUCUUCUCAGGAAGGCUUCUGACAGUGUCAGGAAGCAUCAUGCAGCAUCACAAAGGGCCAGCAGUUAUCUCAGCUGGAUGCACUUUGUCAGCAGCAAGAGAAAGACAACGGUGAAGAUCAGCUGGAGGCAAUGAGGGGGAUAGCAGGGACAGGCUGUGGCAGUGGAGUGAAAGGUGGCCCAAAGGGCAGACACGGCAAGGAGAGAGAUAGGCGAGGGGAACUGAAGCAGAGAAAGAAAAGGAGCACCAAAGUGGAGAGGAAAUGAGAUCUGUCCCGUUAAAAAUCUUUGCAAAAUUCCAUCAAACAGGAAGUAUUUCAGAGAUUCUUGUCAAUUU